UACGGAGGAUGCAAGCGUUAUCCGGAUUCAUUGGGUUUAAAGGGUGCGCAGGCGGGAGUGAUAAGUCAGUGGUAGAAAUCCUACGGCUCAACUGUAGAACUGCCAUUGAUACUGUCAUUCUUGAGUACUGUUGAGGUGGGCGGAAUGUGUCAUGUAGCGGUGAAAUGCUUAGAUAUGACACAGAACACCGAUCGCGAAGGCAGCUCACCAAGCAGAAACUGACGCUCAUGCACGAAAGCGUGGGGGAUCAAACAGGAUUAGAUACCC
Molecule: ribosomal RNA, 267 nt
Filed under: uncultured bacterium
Lineage: Bacteria
Description: partial 16S ribosomal RNA
Rfam family: Bacterial small subunit ribosomal RNA
Source: RNAcentral